GAUGAAGAACGUAGCGAAAUGCGAUAAGUAGUGUGAAUUGCAGAAUUCAGUGAAUCAUCGAAUCUUUGAACGCACAUUGCGCCCCUUGGUAUUCCAUGGGGCAUGCCUGUUCGAGCGUCAUUUGUACCUUCAAGCUUUGCUUGGUGUUGGGUGUUUGUCCCGAGGGACUCGCCUUAAAGUAAUUGGCAGCCAGUGUUUGGUUUUGAAGCGCAGCACAAGCCGCGAUUCAAGGCUACACGCCCGCUUCCACAAGCCUUUUUUCACUUUUGACCUCGGAUCAGGUAGGGAUACCCGCUGAACUUAAGCAUAUCAAUAAGCGGAGGA
This 324-nucleotide unclassified non-coding RNA is filed under the name soil metagenome. RNAcentral's name for it is "partial contains 5.8S ribosomal RNA, internal transcribed spacer 2, and large subunit ribosomal RNA". The stretch from base 1 to 120 matches the Rfam family "5.8S ribosomal RNA", at positions 35 to 154 of the family's 154-position model. The record is from RNAcentral.